CAGUCGCCGCGGGAAUACGGAGGGCGCGAGCGUUACCCGGAUUUACUGGGCGUAAAGGGCGUGUAGGCGGCCUGGGGCGUCCCAUGUGAAAGGCCACGGCUCAACCGUGGAGGAGCGUGGGAUACGCUCAGGCUAGAGGGUGGGAGAGGGUGGUGGAAUUCCCGGAGUAGCGGUGAAAUGCGCAGAUACCGGGAGGAACGCCGAUGGCGAAGGCAGCCACCUGGUCCACUUCUGACGCUGAGGCGCGAAAGCGUGGGGAGCAAACCGGAUUAGAUACCCGGGUAGUCCCUGUCUCUUAUAC
This 301-nucleotide ribosomal RNA is filed under the name uncultured bacterium. Its description in RNAcentral is "partial 16S ribosomal RNA". It matches the Rfam family "Bacterial small subunit ribosomal RNA", at positions 509 to 807 of the family's 1533-position model. The record is from RNAcentral.